Molecule: ribosomal RNA, 253 nt
Filed under: uncultured bacterium
Lineage: Bacteria
Description: partial 16S ribosomal RNA
Rfam family: Bacterial small subunit ribosomal RNA
Source: RNAcentral
UACGGAGGGGGUUAGCGUUGUUCGGAAUUACUGGGCGUAAAGCGCGCGUAGGCGGACCAGAAAGUUGGGGGUGAAAUCCCGGGGCUCAACCCCGGAACGGCCUCCAAAACUCCUGGUCUUGAGUUCGAGAGAGGUGAGUGGAAUUCCGAGUGUAGAGAUGAAAUUCGUAGAUAUUCAGAGGAACACCAGUGGUGAAGGCGGCUCACUGGCUCGAUACUGACGCUGAGGUGCGAAAGUGUGGGGAGCAAACAGG